This 23-nucleotide small nuclear RNA is filed under the name Arabidopsis thaliana (thale cress). RNAcentral's name for it is "snRNA_02992". The record is from RNAcentral. Lineage: Eukaryota; Viridiplantae; Streptophyta; Magnoliopsida; Brassicales; Brassicaceae.
CAGGCUGUGGAAAGCUAUAAGAA